This 930-nucleotide long non-coding RNA is filed under the name Equus asinus (donkey). RNAcentral describes it as "lncRNA (ENSEASG00005025395.1)". The record is from RNAcentral. Lineage: Eukaryota; Metazoa; Chordata; Mammalia; Perissodactyla; Equidae.
UAGGAAGAGUGAGUUUGUUAACCGGUGACCAGCUGUAGGAAAGCAAGGCUGCACCACGACAAGAGAUACAAUGACAGGCGUCUCCAGUUUAACGUGCUGACACAGAACCUCCCGUCGUCUUCCUGAUUUCCAUGCACGGUGCCACCACAGUUCACUCACUUGCGUCGGCGUCACACUAGGAAUCUUCCGUCAUCCCUCACCGUCUGGGUCCCACUCAGCAGCCAGCACCAUCAGGUCUUAACUCAGCUGUCGUCCCUGACAGGCCUUCCCUGGCCACCGUAUCUACACUUGUCUUCGCUGAGUGUUACCUCUGUCCAGCCUUCCAAACCAGACCCUGCAGCGCCUCUUGGGAACGCCCUGCGGAAGAUCUGUGCUGAUGCCUCACCACCUGCAGGACAGAAGUGCAGACUCCUGCCCGGGCCCCAGUGCAUAGUUGUAUAUCCUAGAUGGAAGUCCUUCCAGUUCUUCUAUGUGGGAUGAUGCCACAGCAUGGCUACUGACAGACAGGUGGUGUGGUUCCAAGACCAGGAAGCGAACCCGGGCCGCUGAAGUGUUCUACAGAUCCUGAUUGAGUAGUGAUUGCUGUGUUCCAGGCUUUAGUCUAGGCUGUUGCCAUACGUCAGUGCAUGGAACAGAUAAAGAUCCCUACAUUCUAGCAGGAAAAGACAAGCAGUAAGAAACAAAGAAAUGACUUACCCGGGAUCACACCUGAGAAAUCACCAGGGUCAUUUCACGCCCGAUUCCAUGUGACUCCAGUUCUAUGUGACACCCUUUGAAGUGGUUGGGAUCCAGACAUGAGGUCACAAUCAACUAAUUCACCUUUCAAAUGUUUUUUGAACCUCGACUGAAUGCUGGCACUGUGCUGGUUCUUACCGUCAGGAGCUUAGAUUCCAGUCGGAGGGACAGAGCAAAGAAGUGAACAAAGUCAAU